RNAcentral lists this long non-coding RNA (1197 nucleotides) under Mytilus galloprovincialis (Mediterranean mussel). Lineage: Eukaryota; Metazoa; Mollusca; Bivalvia; Mytilida; Mytilidae. The record is from RNAcentral.
UUAUUACAGAUAAAUGCCAUGUUAAGACAUAUAAUCAACUUUGCUUUAAACAACCUUAUAAAACUAACUGGUGAUAGUCUAUGUUCUGACAUUUCAAGAAAUAUGCAUUAUUGACUCUAUGAUAACUACGGGUAACCCUGCCUUUCCAUUUUUUAAGUGAAAAACAUAUCUUAUUAAUAAAUCUUGUCUUCAACACAAAUUGUUUACUUAUCAGAAAAUAUACUCUUCAACAGAAAAUGUUAACCUAUGAGAAAAUCUAGUCUUCAGCAGCAUGAACAGAAAAUGUUAAUUUUAUUCAUCAUCAUGAUUUGGUGGUUUCCAAUCAGAAUUAACUUACACUGUAUACAACUGUCAACAAUGUCUAUGGUUUGGGUGUUUUACGUUUCAUUCUUGGAACAGAAUAAGAAAUAAGCAUUUCCUUCAACAAAGCAUAAAACUCAAAGGUUCCUUCAUGCAGUUGUCAUUUUGUUUUACCAAAUUCAAAAUGACUCCAACUUGGUUUUUUUUCAUAAAGAUUACUUUUUUUUAUUGAUACAUAAAUACAUUUCCCUGUGUGCAUGUUGAUUAGGAAUUUAAUAUUGGUUUACAGUUUUUAAUCUCAUAGAUUUUUUUUUAGAAAUAUCUAUAUAAAUGCUGCAAACCAACUUAAUUUCAGUUUUAGUUCUUUCUAGCCAACUUCUCAGCUAUCUAUUUUCAAAAUUUUCUUGGUGUUUCUAUACAAAGAAGGAUCCAUUUUUCUGAUCUUUGCAAUGAUUUACAUGCCUUAUUUGUGCUAUAUGUACUCUUGAAAGUAAAAAAAAAAUAAUCACCGCAUAAAUGAGUUGGUUUACUGUUAAAAAAAAAUAAGCUCUUGGCAUAGUUAAUUUUGAAUUUGAACAUCAUUUUUAUACAAGUGAUUGUUAUUUUGCAAACCUCCAAACUUAACUAGAUUAAAUAAGCACAUUUUCUUUGAUUUAGUUCAUUGCUGUCAUAUUUGCAUAACUACAUGCCAUAGCCUUAAAAUUUACACCCAUACAUAGGGCAAGACUGCUGAUUUUUUUUAUUCAUGGGAUACCUAUUUUUGUGGAUUGUCAAAGGGUAAGGAAAAUGAAGGUUUUUUUAAAUGUCUAUAUUUUCUCUAGGCUUGAAAGCAGACUUUGGCAAAACCACAAAAUCAAGUAUCAACGAAAAUUUGGUACCAACGAAUAUAUAUGAAUG